Molecule: ribosomal RNA, 432 nt
Filed under: uncultured Lachnospiraceae bacterium
Lineage: Bacteria; Bacillati; Bacillota; Clostridia; Lachnospirales; Lachnospiraceae
Description: partial 16S ribosomal RNA
Rfam family: Bacterial small subunit ribosomal RNA
Source: RNAcentral
ACGGAAGGCAGCAGUGGGGAAUAUUGCACAAUGGGGGAAACCCUGAUGCAGCGACGCCGCGUGAGUGAAGAAGUAUUUCGGUACGUAAAGCUCUAUCAGCAGGGAAGAUAAUGACGGUACCUGACUAAGAAGCCCCGGCUAACUACGUGCCAGCAGCCGCGGUAAUACGUAGGGGGCAGGCGUUAUCCGGAUUUACUGGGUGUAAAGGGAGUGUAGGUGGUCUCAAGUCAGAUGUGAAAGCCCGCGGCUCAACCGCGGGACUGCAUUUGAAACUGUCAGACUGGAGUGCAGGAGAGGAAAGUGGAAUUCCUAGUGUAGCGGUGAAAUGCGUAGAUAUUAGGAAGAACACCAGUGGCGAAGGCGGCUUUCUGGACUGUAACUGACACUGAGGCUCGAAAGCGUGGGGAGCAAACAGGAUUAGAUACCCUGGUA